This 406-nucleotide ribosomal RNA is filed under the name uncultured bacterium. RNAcentral's name for it is "partial 16S ribosomal RNA". It matches the Rfam family "Bacterial small subunit ribosomal RNA", at positions 30 to 526 of the family's 1533-position model. The record is from RNAcentral.
AUUGAACGCUGGCGGCAAGCCUAACACAUGCAAGUCGAACGAGUGGCGGACGGGUGAGUCAUGUCUGGGAAACUGCCUGCUGGAGGGGGAUAACUACUGGAAACGGUAGCUAAUACCGCAUACCAUCGGAUGUGCCCAGAUGGGAUUGGCUAGUAGGUGGGGUAAAGGCUCACCUAGUCGACGAUCCCUAGCUGGUCUGAGAGGAUGACCAGCCACACUGGAACUGAGACACGGUCCAGAAUCCUACGGGAGGCAGCAGUGGGGAAGAUUGCACAAUGGGCGCAAGCCUGAUGCAGCCAUGCCGCGUGUAUGAAGAAGGCCUUCGGGUUGUAAAGUACUUUCAGCGGGGAGGCGUUACCCGCAGAAGAAGCACCGGCUAACUCCGUGCCAGUCGCGGCGGUAAUAC